This 591-nucleotide ribosomal RNA is filed under the name uncultured bacterium. RNAcentral describes it as "partial 16S ribosomal RNA". It matches the Rfam family "Bacterial small subunit ribosomal RNA", at positions 355 to 1375 of the family's 1533-position model. The record is from RNAcentral.
UGGGGAAUUUUGGACAAUGGGCGAAAGCCUGAUCCAGCAAUGCCGCGUGUGUGAAGAAGGCCUUCGGGUUGUAAAGCACUUUUGUCCGGAAAGAAAUCCUUGGCUCUAAUACAGUCGGGGGAUGACGGUACCGGAAGAAUAAGCACCGGCUAACUACGUGCCAGCAGCCGCGGUAAUACGUAGGGUGCAAGCGUUAAUCGGAAUUACUGGGCGUAAAGCGUGCGCAGGCGGUUUGCUAAGACCGAUAUGAAAUCCCCGGGCUCAACCUGGGAACUGCAUUGGUGACUGGCAGGCUAGAGUAUGGCAGAGGGGGGUAGAAUUCCACGUGUAGCAGUGAAAAUGCGUAGAGAUGCGGAGGAAUACCGAUGGCGAAGGCCAGCCCCCUGGGCCAAUACUGACGCUCAUGCACGAAAAGCGUGGGGAGCAAAACAGGAUUAGAUACCCUGGUAGUCCACGCCCUAAAACGAUGUCAACUAGUUGUUGGGGAUUCAUUUCCUUAGUAACGUAGCUAACGCGUGAAGUUGACCGCCUGGGGGAGUACGGUCGCAAGAUUAAAACUUAAAUGAAUUGACGGGGUCAUAGCUGUUUCCU